RNAcentral lists this long non-coding RNA (576 nucleotides) under Jatropha curcas. RNAcentral describes it as "long non-coding RNA (JCUR_LNC000274)". The record is from RNAcentral. Lineage: Eukaryota; Viridiplantae; Streptophyta; Magnoliopsida; Malpighiales; Euphorbiaceae.
UUAUUAUUUAAUGCACUGUUCUUGCAACUUAUUUUUCUGGUUAAUAUACUGUGAUUUGUGAAUGGCAGUUCAUUUCAAGCUUCUAAAUGUGUUUUUGAUCUCUAAAUAAGACUGCAUUUUAAUAUUGAUUACAGGCUUUUUAUUCCAGAGUAGUAGUAGCUCCAACACCAGCCCCUGCACCACCAGUGGUCAAGCCACCCAUCACUAAUCCACCAGUAGUGAACCCUAGUCCGCCGGUAGUCAAGCCACCAGUUUAUUCUCCACCAGUGGUCAAGCCACCCAUCACUAAUCCACCAGUAGUGAAACCUAGUCCGCCGGUAGUCAAGCCACCAGUUUAUUCUCCACCAGUGGUCAAGCCACCCAUCACUAAUCCACCAGUGGUGAAACCUAGUCCCCCGGUAGUCAAGCCACCAGUUUCUUCUCCACCAGUGGUCAAGCCACCAACUCCUACCACACCGGUCGUCAAGCCACCAGUUUCUUCUCCACCAGUGGUCAAGCCACCAACUCCUACCCCACCAGUCGUCAAGCCACCAGUUGCUACCCCGCCAGUGACCAAACCCCCCACUCCUUCACCAC